RNAcentral lists this ribosomal RNA (566 nucleotides) under Tetrapisispora sp. SA4S06. RNAcentral describes it as "eukaryotic LSU rRNA". The stretch from base 160 to 313 matches the Rfam family "5.8S ribosomal RNA". Lineage: Eukaryota; Fungi; Ascomycota; Saccharomycetes; Saccharomycetales; Saccharomycetaceae. The record is from RNAcentral.
AAGACUGCCUGCGCUUAAGUGCGCGGCGGAUCUUCACUGACACACCGUGAAGACAGUAUAAUUUUUUUUUUACUUCUGAACAAUACACAGACAAACCUUUAUUUUUUUUUUUAUACAGCAGUCUAGCAAGAUUUCUUAAUUGAAAAGCAAACAAAUUAAAACUUUCAACAACGGAUCUCUUGGUUCUCGCGCCGAUGAAAAACGCAGCGAAAUGCGAUACGUAAUGUGAAUUGCAUAAUUCCGUGAAUCAUCGAAUCUUUGAACGCACAUUGCGCCCCAUAGUAUUCUGUGGGGCAUGCCUGUUUGAGCGUCAUUUCCUUCUCAACAAGCGAUUGUUGGUAGUGAGUGAUACUCUGUGAACAAUUUGAGUUAGCUUGAAAGUGCGAAUUUUUGAAAGCUGUGGCCUGCGAAUACGCGGGACGUUGCGAACGAGUUAGGUUUUGCCAAGUCGUUGAGUGAUGUACCGAAGGAUGAGCGAGCAGCGGCUGGUAGUAAAGACGACACAAGUUUGACCUCAAAUCAGGUAGGAAUACCCGCUGAACUUAAGCAUAUCAAUAAGCGGAGGA